UACGUAGGUGACCAGCGUUGUCCGGAUUUACUGGGCGUAAAGAGCGCGCAGGCGGUCGGUCAAGUCGAGUGUGAAAGCCCCCGGCUCAACUGGGGAGGGUCAUUCGAUACUGAUCGACUCGAAGGCAGGAGAGGGUAGUGGAAUUCCCGGUGUAGUGGUGAAAUGCGUAGAUAUCUGGAGGAACACCGGUGGCGAAGGCGACAUCCUGGACCGGUAUUGACGCUGAGGCGCGAAAGCCAGGGGAGCAAACGGG
Molecule: ribosomal RNA, 253 nt
Filed under: uncultured bacterium
Lineage: Bacteria
Description: partial 16S ribosomal RNA
Rfam family: Bacterial small subunit ribosomal RNA
Source: RNAcentral